Molecule: long non-coding RNA, 1824 nt
Filed under: Equus caballus (horse)
Lineage: Eukaryota; Metazoa; Chordata; Mammalia; Perissodactyla; Equidae
Description: lncRNA (ENSECAG00000056622.1)
Source: RNAcentral
ACAGAGAGCUGGGACUCAUGUGUCUGACUCCCAGGUGACACAUUCUGUGGUAUCAACAAGGCAGUCAAGAUUUUCAAAUGCCAGGUCCAACUUCUGACCAGGAAGAACUGCCCUCCCCCAUCAGAGAGGUGCACCUUCAGACGGUGUGUUAGAAGAAUUCUUAUGAAGUACUUAGAAAUCUGUGGAAGACUAUUAAAAUACAAAGGAAGCACUCUCCUAAUAGUCAAACCCACGACAUUUUCUUGAGCUUACUCCAAGGUAAAAACUCAAAUGUCGUACCAAGGGCCUAACAAGGAGCCUAGGCUAGGGACCCAGAAUGGCAAGAUGGGGUCUCACCAGGUGGCCAUAUGUGAGAGGAGGACCUGACUGUGCCACUCAGCUCAGCCCAGCUGUCAGGUGCAGGACAGGCAACAGGAGGUUCCUCCCCUCUCAGUGAGCAACAUUCAUCACUUUUAUGAAGCCAGCUGGUUGAUCCCACCCACGUGGGAAGAUCUAGAGGAUGGUGGUGAGGGUUGGACGAACCUGAUUCUGGACAAGGAGGCCUUUAGAUUUCUGCUUAGAUUCACUUAAAGAAGAAGACCUGUGUUGAGUUAAAAACGACCUUCAGGUCUAGGGAGAACUUUAAAAUGGGAAAUAUCCUCUUCACUUCAAUGAGAUGGGAACAAAAGCAAGCCAACUGGACAGUCCAAGAAAGACCCCAGGAUUGGUCUGGAGGAGAACUGUGGAUGUUAUGGCAAGUGUGACGAUCUCUCCUACUCAACCACACAGAGUCAAAGUCCCAGUCAUUCUCUCAGGGCCCUCACUUUCAAAGAGAGGCCCUUUGAGGAACUUUCUCUUGUAGCAGAACUAAUCAUCAAGCUCUCUGCUCACAGGAUCCCUGGGCCAGCGCCUCUGAGAGCACAAUGCUGCCCACAUGAUCCUAAGCCUUCCCCUACCUGCUGUCUCCUCUUUGUUUUUCUAUCAUUGAGCUUCCCCUUCACACCCUGCUCCCCUGGAUCCUACUCCCACCUUGCCACAUCCAUCUCCAAACCAUUGCCUUUGGGAUUCAUAUAGUUCUGUUCAUCCUUUAAAUCGGGACUGAAGGCCCACUCUUCUAGGAAGCCAUCCUGGGUUGAUGCUACUCUAGAAGGAAAUAAAAUUUAGAAGCCUUUUCCAGAAGCCUGACGUUCAUGUUUCUUCAACUCUGAGUUCCUGCCAUCAGUGUUGACUGCUAGCUUGAUACAUUUUCCAGAGAUAGACAGCCCAACCAGGCCAGGUGUCUGGCUUCUGACAGAGGACAGGGGCCCCUGUUGUGGGGCUCUAGGUCAUUUGGCUGCACCACUCCUUCUAUGACUCCUUCCUGAUGGGAAGCUCUUGGAGACAAAGAAACUUCACAGUACUUUGACUAAGAGAUAGCUAUUCUCUGUGGGGCUCUGGAUCUGGACUGGAGACCAGUGACUCAGAAGCUGUUUUUCACUCUGUGACUUCCAUGGGUCCUCUGAAGACUCCGGCAAUCCCAUCUUCUUUACAUGCUAUACUUAUUUUCACAGCUCUCACCCCACAGAAGGCCACACUGAGACAGCGGAGAGAAGUUGGACACUUCAGCGUGCCCCCUGCCGUCCCAAGGUCUGCACCAGCCUCCUCUCUCCAGGGCCUUCUCUUCCCUGCACACGCAGAGCUGCAGGAAGAUUCCUGAGGAAGGGAGGCGCUUCUCUACUCCGCCCAGUUCCACAUCUGUGGCCUCUUGAACUCGUCCCCAGGCUCUCUCCUGCUUCUCACUAGUGCUCCCAUGGUGCCACCUUGGUCCCCGAAUCUUCCUUGCACCGUCACACCAGCUGCAGCUCC